AUGUCAGGGCUUAAGAUUAAUUUCCGGAAGAGUGAAAUUUUAUGCAUUGGAGGGGAUGAUGACGUUCUUGCUUUUCAUUCUGAGCUCUUCAAUUGCCAGAUUGGCCACUUUCCUAUGAAAUACUUAGGGGUGCCUGUGAGCUAUUCUACUCUCCGUGCGGUAGACUGGGACUUUGUAGAUGACAAAUUCCUCAAGUGUUGUGAAUCCUGGAUUGGUAAUGCGGCCUCUUCGGGAGGGAGAUUGACUCUUCUCAACUCCUCCCUUACGAGUAUUGUUUUUUACUACAUGUCUAUGUUUAUGCUAUCUAAGAAGAAUAUUGAUAAACUAGAUAAGCAUAGGAAAAAGUUCUUUUGGCAAGAGAUCGAUGGUCGGAGAAGAUAUCACUUGGUCAGGUGGUCUAGAAUAUGCAGAUCUAAGAACAAAGGGGGAUUGGGAGUUAAAGAUUUGCACAGACAAAACAUCAGUCUCCUCACCAAAUGGUGGUGGAAACUGGAAACCCAACACGGCCUUUGGCAGGAGAUAAUCCGUGCUAAAUAUUUCAGAAAUGAUACGAUCCCCCCGGUGAAAAGUAAGUUUGGGGAUUCCCCCAUCUGGAAAGCUAUUAUGAAAGUAAAGGAGAUAUACUUGGAAGGUAGAGAAGUGAUCUUAAACUCUGGGAAUAUAGCCAGAGUCUGGAAUGACCCCAUUAGGGGCGAUGCUCCCUUGCGUGCUAAAUUUCCGGCCUUGUUCAGCAUCUGUAACUAUCAGGAGAUUACUGUUGCUGAAUUCAAAAACUUUGAGGGUAGCGAUCUUUUUAGAAUAAACCUUCAUCCUCCCCUUACGGAUCAGUGGAAAGAUCUAGUUAAGGUGGUUAACUCUUGGCAUUUAUCCGAUGAGACGGAUCAUAUUAGCUGGAGGUUGGGGAAGAAAGGUAAAUUCUCGACCAAAUCGGUCUCUUAUUUGGAAAGAACCCUGGCCGGAUGUGAUUUCAGAUGGAUAUGGAAAGCAAAAAUUCCUCUUAAGAUUCAAAUUUUUCUUUGGCAAUUGUUCCAAGACGCGGUUUUGACUCGAGAAGUCAUGAAAAGGCGAAAGUGGGCAGGCAAUCCUAGAUGCUCGUUUUGCAAUGAGGUGGAAACCUCGCAACAUCUUUUCUUUACGUGUCCUGUUGCUCGGGUGGUUUGGAGGACGGUUGGGUGUGUGUUAGGCACAUCGUUGUGUCCAAACAACCUUUGGCAAUACUUCUCCUGGUGUUACAUAUUCCUUCCUGAUGGAGCAAAAUUUUAUACCUUUGGUUUGGCAGCUAUAUGCUGGGCGAUUUGGAUCAGUCGCAAUCAGGCUACCUUUGAGCACAAAACUCUUAAAAGUCCUUUUAAUGUGGUAUAUGCUGCUUGUGGCUUUUUGACAUACUGGGCAGGUUUGAUGGCUGGUGAAGAGCAGGAGUCCGUGGAGCGUGGAGCCAAGAUGCUCAGGUCAAAUGCUUCGACGAUGAUGAGGAUCAGUGCGGCUCCGUCAACGACGAACUGA
RNAcentral lists this ribosomal RNA (1503 nucleotides) under Triticum aestivum (bread wheat). Its description in RNAcentral is "partial small subunit ribosomal RNA". The record is from RNAcentral. Lineage: Eukaryota; Viridiplantae; Streptophyta; Magnoliopsida; Poales; Poaceae.